RNAcentral lists this ribosomal RNA (1415 nucleotides) under Vitiosangium sp. RNAcentral describes it as "partial 16S ribosomal RNA". It matches the Rfam family "Bacterial small subunit ribosomal RNA". Lineage: Bacteria; Pseudomonadati; Myxococcota; Myxococcia; Myxococcales; Archangiaceae. The record is from RNAcentral.
AGUCGAGCGCGAAUGGAGGAUCCUAGUUGAGUGGCGCGGGGUGCGUAACACGUGGAUAAUCUGCCUGGGUGUCUGGGAUAACCAGUCGAAAGACUGGCUAAUACCGGAUAAGACCACGGUCUCCUCGGAGGCUGUGAGAAAAGGUGGCCUCUGUAUACAAGCUAUCACAUCCAGAUGAGUCCGCGGCCCAUCAGCUAGUUGGAGGGGUAAUGGCCCACCAAGGCGACGACGGGUAGCUGGUCUGAGAGGACGAUCUGCCACACUGGAACUGACACACGGUCCAGACUCCUACGGGAGGCAGCAUUGGGGAAUUUUGCGCAAUGGGCGAAAGCCUGACGCAGCGACGCCGCGUGUGGGAUGAAGGUCUUCGGAUUGUAAAGCACUUUCGACCGGGGCGAAAACCCGCAGCCCAUCACGCUGACGCUUGACGGUACCGGGAGAAGAAGCACCGGCUAACUCUGUGCCAGCAGCCGCGGUAAUACAGAGGGUGCAAGCGUUGUUCGGAAUUAUUGGGCGUAAAGCGCGUGUAGGCGGCUUUGCAAGUCGGGUGUGAAAGCCCUCAGCUCAACUGAGGAAGUGCGCCCGAAACUGCAGAGCUUGAGUGCCGGAGAGGGUGGCGGAAUUCCCCAAGUAGAGGUGAAAUUCGUAGAUAUGAAUGAGGAACAGCGGUGGCGAAGGCGGCCACCUGGACUGAUAACUGACGCUGAGACGCGAAAGCGUGAAGAGCAAACAGGAUUAGAUACCCUGGUAGUCCACGCCGUAAACGAUGAGAACUAGGUGUCGUGGGUGUUGACCCCCGCGCUGCCGUAUCUAACGCAUUAAGUUCUCCGCCUGGGAAGUACGGUCACAAGACUAAGACUCAGACGAAUACACGGGGGCCCGCACAAGCAUUGGAACAUGUGGUUUAAUUCGACGCAACGCGCACAAGCUUACCUGGUCUUGACAUCCUCGGAAACUUUCAGAGAUGAUAGGAUGCCCGACAGAGAACCUGAGAGACAUGUGCUGCAUGCCUGUCGUCAGCUCAUGUCUGAGAUGAUGGGCUAAAGUCACGCAACCAGCUGCAACCCUCGUCCUUUAGUAGCCGCCGCAAGAUGAUCUCUAGAGGGCAAACCGGUGGAAAACCGGAGGAAGGUGGGGAUGACGUCAAGUCCUCAUGGCCUUUAUCACCAGUCAUACACACGUGCUACAAUAGCCGGUACAAAGCGUGAGCAACUCGCGAGAGGGAAAUAAUCGCAUAAAUCCGGUCUCAGUUCAGCAAGGAGUCUGCAACUAGACUCCAUGAAGGCGGAAUCGGUAGUAGAACAGAUCAGCACGACGCGGCGAAUACGUUCCCACGCCUCCCCACACCCCCUGUCACACCAUGGGACUGAAGUAUCCACAAGUCAUCUCACCAAGAGCUCCCACGCUGAUCGGUA